Molecule: non-coding RNA, 405 nt
Organism: Misgurnus anguillicaudatus (oriental weatherfish)
Lineage: Eukaryota; Metazoa; Chordata; Actinopteri; Cypriniformes; Cobitidae
Source: the annotation of a RefSeq genome assembly
AUGGGAAAAGGAGAAGUUACGUCGAUUCUCCAUUUGGCUGAUCAGGGAGUCUGCCCGGGAGACUCAGAGUGGGAGCUUCGUCUCGGUGUCCACUGUGUUGAACUGACUCAACCUGCAUCCAUUAAUCUGAGGUCUGAUCAGACUUUGACUCUGUCCUGUAAGGUGUCUGGAUAUUCAGUAACUAGCAGCUACUGCACUAACUGGAUACGACAGACUGCUGGAAAACCUCUGGAAUGGAUUGGCAGAAUUUGUUUUGAUGGUAGCACAAAUUACAACGAUAAACUGAAAAGUAGAUUUCAAGUAACAAGAGACACUUCCAGCAACACAUUGACUCUACAAGGACAGAAUAUGAGGACUGAGGACACAGCUGUGUAUUACUGUGCACGAGAGAGCACACUGAUGUAA